Molecule: ribosomal RNA, 243 nt
Filed under: uncultured bacterium
Lineage: Bacteria
Description: partial 16S ribosomal RNA
Rfam family: Bacterial small subunit ribosomal RNA
Source: RNAcentral
UGGGCGUAAAGCGCAUGCAGGUGGUUUGUUAAGUCAGAUGUGAAAGCCCGGGGCGUCAACCUCGGAAUAGCAUUUGUAAACUGGCAGACUAGAGUACUGUAGAGGGGGGUAGGAAUUUCAGGUGUAGCGGUGAAAUGCGUAGAGAUCUGAAGGAAUACCGGUGGCGAAGGCGGCCCCCUGGACAGAUACUGACACUCAGAUGCGAAAGCGUGGGGAGCAAACAGGAUUAGAUACCCCUGGUAG